Molecule: ribosomal RNA, 582 nt
Filed under: uncultured Ascomycota
Lineage: Eukaryota; Fungi; Ascomycota
Description: eukaryotic LSU rRNA
Rfam family: 5.8S ribosomal RNA (bases 165-319)
Source: RNAcentral
CCUUUGUCAUCACACCAUUGUUGCUUCGGCGGGCCCGUCGUCACAGGCCGCCGGAGGACCGACUCUCGGUCCUCUGGCCCGCGCCCGCCGAUAGCCAAACUUAUCAAAACUCUUGAAUAAAAUCGUGUCUACAAUGUCUGAAUACCAUAUUAAAAUUAAAGCAAAACUUUCAACAACGGAUCUCUUGGUUCUGGCAUCGAUGAAGAACGCAGCGAAAUGCGAUAAGUAAUGCGAAUUGCAGAAUUCCAGUGAGUCAUCGAAUCUUUGAACGCACAUUGCGCCCUUUGGUAUUCCGAAGGGCAUGCCUGUUCGAGCGUCAUUUAUCACCCCUCAAGCCUUCCGGCUUGGUGUUGGACGGUCUGGUCGAGCCUGCCUCGACCCCUCCCAAAGACAAUGACGGCGGCCUGGUUGGACCCCCGGUACAUGGAGCUUCUUCAUUGAGCACGUAUCGGUUUCAAGGCGUCCCCGGGACCCGGUCUCCUCCCUCCCGUCCGCGGAAGGGAGACCCCCCCUUUUUUCUAAGGUUGACCUCGGAUCAGGUAGGAAUACCCGCUGAACUUAAGCAUAUCAAUAAGCGGAGGA